AGGCUCCGGGAGGCCUGAACCCAGAGAGCCGAGGGGGAAACAGACAUGGGAACAAGAACACGCACGGUACUGCUCCCUGUUUUUUCCCAAGCCUAGCCAGAUAAAGAAGCUUUUCACGAUUUAUUUUCCAGGUUGUAAAAUAAUAAUUUGCUUAGCUUGUCAGACAGCUGGGGGAGAACUUCAGAGAAACACUCUUCCUCAUCUUUCUGCGGAUUUUACCGUCUGCUGGAAAAAUCAGAGCGGCUCACCCCGCGCCCUCGGAGCUGAAUGCAUUUUGCCCAACCAGGACAAGCUUCUCUGAGCAUGUUCUAGCUCGUUCUGGCCGGGGGACAUCCUCCCCGGCACUGGGUACUCGGCUUUAUCUUGGCCGGGAGAACAAGAACAUUCUUUCAUGAAGCCGUGAACACAGUAUCUCCCUCUGCCACCUUCUCCGCCGCCCUCUCAGAUCAGGAAAACCCUCGAGGCCUCUCAGCCCGUACGCAGUUCCCACUCUCUGCUGAGAGGGGGGAAAGGAGACAGGGACAGAAGGUUCUCGGGGCUUCAGACCCUGAAGCUCAGGUCUGGUACUUCCAGCUACCCUGAAGAACAGAACAGCAUGCUUUCAGAGGCGUCUUGCCAGGACCCUCCCGAGUACAGCUUCUUGCGUCAGUGACUUCUUGCCUGCCACCCCCUCUCUCCGCUGGCCACCCUUAAGCUUCCCUCUGAACUGCUACACCACCAUCACCACAAAUGUCACCACAGACCCGGGGAGAGCGCUUGUUUGGCUGGUGUUUACUUCUGCCGGGAGACUCUGGAAGAUCGGAGGCUGGGAGAGGUCACCACGCUCAACCCUUGCCCCACUCACUGCCACCUCGGGUGAUGCUGAGGGCCCGGACUCGGUGAUGGGAUCCCACACGGCAGGACAAAAGCCACGUAUGCUGGGCUUCCUCUGGCACUGGAGGCUGGGAGUCACGCAGGAUCCCGGCAGGGGGAGGGUCGCCCGAUCAUUCUGCAGCAGGGAGGGCUGUUGGGGGGCGGGUGAGAGCAGGGGGCUAGAGCCAGGCCACCUGAACCCCAAUCCCAGCUCCGUUACUAGGGGGUGGGAGAACCUGAGUAAGUCACAUGACCUCUGAGCUUCAGUCUCCACAUCCAUAAAAUGGGAGCAGCAGCCGUUCCUGCCUCAUGUAGCGCUGUGCCCAUGCAGCGCACUGACACAUGCACACGCCCGCAGCAGUGCGGGGCACAUGGGAGGCCUUCAGUGCAUGUAGCCAUAAUGCACUCAUCCCUGCUGACCAGAGAUCUGGCUCCGUGUCAGUGGGGCCAGCUCAAGUUCAAGCUGACUUUGGAAAGGAAAACACAGCGGUUCUAAUCAAUCCUGCCUGCCUUCAUCCACUCAACAGGCAUCUAUUGAGCAUCUAUUAUGUACCCCAAUCUCUAGUGGGAGGGAACAGUUCUAGAAACAUCAUUAGAAUGUAGCCCGCUAAACACUGGACAUGAAUUCUGAUGUCAGAAAAAAGUCAACUAAAUAAUCCAACGGAAACAAAGGUACCCUCUUUUUUUCCUGUUAUCUUCCUGUUGUCCCCAAACCUGAGAAACUCACGAUGGUAUCUUCCAGCAGAGGACUUCCGAGGAAGGGUUUCAAGUUUGGGGUUUGAGAGUAUCUACCAUGCUCGGGGGAGGUGGUACGAGAUCACUGUUGUCCCAGGAUGAGCCUUUUCAGUGGUCUCUCCCCUGCAUCUAUCUGUUCUCCCUUCUGGAUAUGCAGGUGCAGCCUGUCCACGUGGUGGCAGGGGCCAAAGGGCUCCUGACUCCAGCCAGAGCAGCUGGCGGCUGCUGAAGACAUGGGUAGCCAGGCGUGCCUUAGCCUGACACGCUCUGUGCACCCUUGCCUACAAGGACCCCUGUCUGCAGGCAGGAGGGCCUGGGAGCCGGCACAGGCAGUGCCCACUGGUGGGUGCACCAGCACUGGGAGAAGGUGGAGCCAAGUGCCCCAGCAGGAAGCCAUCCCGACGCUGUGGUCUUGCACUGCCCGUCGCCUCGGGAAGCUCACGCGCAGGUGUUCCCUGCUCCAUCCCAGGUGGCCAACCCCAAGUUGCCCCCGAGUUCUGGACAGCCGUUCUAGCUCCACACCCCCUGCACCGGGCCCCAGGGGGUCUCAGGCAGGUUGUCAGGAAGUUCACUCACCUCCUGCCAGGGCACCGUGGGCCCCA
Leopardus geoffroyi (Geoffroy's cat) is the source of this 2189-nucleotide long non-coding RNA. RefSeq lists it as uncharacterized. NCBI's taxonomy places the organism in Eukaryota, Metazoa, Chordata, Mammalia, Carnivora, Felidae. The transcript is spliced from 2 exons. The record is from RefSeq and is a predicted model, not a curated record.